This is a non-coding RNA of Neolamprologus brichardi, 1702 nucleotides long. NCBI's taxonomy places the organism in Eukaryota, Metazoa, Chordata, Actinopteri, Cichliformes, Cichlidae. The record is from RefSeq and is a predicted model, not a curated record.
UCCAUGAACCAGGAAAGGAUCAGAGAAAGAUGAUUCAUGGAUCCAGACUUCUAUCUUUGAAUAAUCUAAACACAAGUGAUCUCUGCAAAGAAAUGUACAUUGGGACUGUGGAAUGUGUGUCUGUGAAGAGCGUUGUGUUCAGGAAUGUGCUAUGGGUUCAUGGGAAAUAUGCCAACGUGAAAGCUCUGCCUUUGCAUCACAUCUUGGACAUAGAUGAUCACUGCAAAUCACCUAAACUGUUUCUUGGGAAGACCUACAUCUUUAACAACGUUAAUGUUUUCACUGAUUUCAACCAUGACUCUGUUCUUCAGUCACUCCAUUUCAUUUUUUCUAAAUGUUCAUCUUAGAUCACCACUGUCUGAUCUAUGUAUGGUCAGUUAUUAGCUAUUCUCUUGUUUUUGUAUUAGCGCAAGUACUUAAUUUUUAUUUACUCAGUGUUGGUUUUCUUACUCUAAAAUAGUGCUACACUAAGAGCAAGUCAUAGGGUUUUUUUAUCCUCAGAAGAAUGUACUGUUAAAGUACUCAUUACAGGGAUGUUCUCUUACAUAAUGGUCUAUUAACAAUAUAACACUGAACCUUAGAAAUGCCCAUUAAUUAGUAAAACUCUACCCUAAAAGGAAAGACCAUUGAAGCUUAACAUUUGGGCACUUUGCUGGUGUAAGCAUAAAAUCAAAGAACCAGCCAUAUUUCUAUCACACAUUUUAUUUUUCCAUCAGUUAUUGUUGUGCAAGCACACAUGAAAAUGUUUAAAAAUGUGAUCUUUUUAAUCUUUUUGUUACCUAAAUAAUUGAAGAACAUGUAACUCAAUUGAAUUAAUUCAUUAACUGAAAUAUGUUUACUCAAUUAAUGCAUUAUAGAAAAAAUUAACUUGAUUAGGGAUUGCAUUACUUUUAAACUGUUUAAAUUAAAAAAAAUCCAGAAUUAGUUAUUAGUGAUAUUACUUACACAUUGCUAUCAGUAAUGCAUUAAAUGUUCAACGCUCAUUUCCAUCCAAACCAUGUUGCUCUGUUUUUGAACGCAUCCCAAAAUGUGUGCUCGGUAAUUACUACUGUUACACAGCUAAUGCACAGUGUUGUUAACUUAUACAUGCAGUAAUGCAAUAUGACCAUUAUCUUUCAAAGUCUGAAAAAGCUAAAGUAGUAACUAGGAUAUCCAAGCUAGUGUUGGUUUGAAAUUAACAGUAGCUAACACCUUAGCUAUCAGUGUAACAGGAAGCAAGGCAUGCAAGAAUGUUAGCUAAACUGCUAUCAGCUAAUAUUGUUUGUCAUUUGAAAUUUUUGUGACUGUUAUUUUUAUGUCUCUUUUUUGCACUGAACUAAAUUGUAAAUGGCAACUUUUUGCACAUGUCCUUGAACCAUACAAUUUAAUGUAUAAAUGUACUGUAAAGCAAGAUUUAUUUGAAAGAUAAAGCUUGUAACUGUCAAAUGGUUAGUUGACAAUACCAUUAUUAUAAGCACCCCAGUUCCCACUGAUCCCUCUAAAAAUGCAAUAUUUCUGUUUCUUUGUAAGUACCUACUUUUAAUCACCUUGACCCAAGUUAUUUUUAUAUAUGUGAAUUUCGGGAAGAUGUUUGGCAUUUAUUGUACUGUAUGUGUCUUUACUAAAUUGGGAAGAACAUACCUUUAAGCUACUAACAGGACAAGCUCAUGAUAUACAGUAUAUAUAUUAUAUAUUAUAUUGCAUGUUUAUAUUUAAUAUUUAA